This is a non-coding RNA of Pseudomonas sp. Bc-h, 181 nucleotides long. The record is from Rfam. NCBI's taxonomy places the organism in Bacteria, Pseudomonadati, Pseudomonadota, Gammaproteobacteria, Pseudomonadales, Pseudomonadaceae.
ACCCCCGGUAUUAUUGCUGUUAUGGGUUGCGACCGAGCUUAGCCUUGUUCAUUUUUUUACACAACAGCCCCGUAAAAAAUAAAACACGCCUCGCUCAAGAUCGCAGUUCCCACCCCGUCCAACGGCUGAAAUCCGCCCUAAAGUGCGGCAAAAACGGCCCAGAGGCGCCUUUUUAGGGCAA